CUUCAGCGAGCCCAGCCACAGGGGGCUGCCCGGCUCGCGGUCCUGUCCGUAGGUGGCGAGCAGGGCCUGUGCCUC
This 75-nucleotide antisense RNA is filed under the name Streptomyces katrae. RNAcentral's name for it is "ASpks sRNA". It matches the Rfam family "ASpks TB sRNA". The record is from RNAcentral. Lineage: Bacteria; Bacillati; Actinomycetota; Actinomycetes; Kitasatosporales; Streptomycetaceae.